GUGAGUGCAUUCUGGAAAUCACCGGCAGCUCCGCUCCGCAGAAAGGCCUUGGCCUGUGCCAUCUGAGGGUGAAGUUACGUGGUUAUCAAAUUCCCCUUCCCUGGAGCCCCUGGCAAGAAGUUGAUGCCAGAAACAGACGGAGGGGGUGCGAGGAGGGAGGGAAUCAGACCUUUUGUUUCUCUUUUUCCCCCUAGGACCUGGUCUCAUGCUUCUCCCCCUCAUCUCUCCCAGGGCACCCCUCCGACCCCCGCUGCGAGGGGUUUCCCGCGGGAGGUGGACGAAGCGUGGGCCAGGACAGGCGCCUGGCACUGGGGUUUCAGAGCCGCGAGUAGGCCCUGAAGGCCGGGAGGGACCGCCAGUCCCCACUGGAAGCCGCUUCCGUGCAGCCCGGGACAGAGUUUCAGAAUUUGGCAAAAGUCUCAAGGCUCAAGCUGGUUGUCUGAAGCCUUUCAAACCCCCAGUUUUAUCACCACAUAUGAGGGAAUAAGAAGAGGAUUCCUUCCUAAUUGCUAGCUUCUGUUAGCAGUAGCUGAUGCCAUGGCCCCUGCUGCCAGCUCUCAAUCUUCACCUGAGCCAGGUGGCACCCCUUUGAGAAAUAGGGUACUACCCCUUCACCUCCUUCACCUGCCAAUCUGGGCUUCCUCUGUGGAGGUCCCAACACCCACUGGUCUGUGUCCUCUUCUCAGAGGUCCCAGCACCAACCGCACCAGCCACAGGACUCCUCUUCUCGGUGGUACAACCAGCAGCUUCCAGGCCCAGCCACAUAUCCAGAGCUUGGGGAUCAGGUAUAGAGAGCCAAUCCCCUGGGAACCCAUGCAUUAGUCCCAGGGGGCCUCUCCUCCAAGCGCCUACAUUCUGGAAAAGCCUCAAGUUUCUACAGUCAUGAUACCUGGGAAACUCAGUGCUCCCUUUUGGAUUUUUCUUAGCCCUUCAACACCUAUGUAAAUCUGCAUGAAAUUUCCACUGUUUGAAUAGAGUGUCAUUCCCUGCUGAGCCCUAACUGAUACGCUGUGUUUCCAGUGUCCCUCAUCCACUAGACUCAGUGGUGUCAGGAAUGGUGUGGUAUUUUGUUAUAAAUUUAACUCCUUAGAUGGACACACAGAGAGCCUCGAUAAAUAUUUUUAAUCCAUCAAUGCAAGGAGUGUGGUUGUCAGAAGUCAGCUAAAAGUCCAAGUUUAAAUCUAAGCUCCGCCGUUCACAGCUUGGGUGACCUCAGCUUCUUUUUUGGAAAUGAAGUUCAUAUUUUCCGAGCACUUUUUCUGUGCCAGGUGCUUCCAAAUGUAUCUCGUUUAAUCCUCACAACAUACCUCAGAGGAAGACAUCAUUUUUACAAGUAAGGAAAUAGAGGCUCAGAGAGAUGAAGUGGUUGACCCGGGCUGUCUAUCUUGUAAAUGGUGGGCUGUGAUUCCCACACGACUGGAGUUUCUGGAGUCAGAGGCUGCCUGGAGUCAGGGGCUGCCUGACUCCAGAAACCAUUUUCUGUGCAUUUCAUGUAGCUCCACCUCAAUUGCCUUCCUUUCCUCAUCUGCAGACUGAUUAAAUAAAAUGUAUAAUUUGGAUGAAAUUUGAUAAAUAAUUCUGAAUGCAUUCUUUUUUAGAAUAAAUUAUCUGCAGUUCAGUACUUUAUUCUUACUAAUAAAUUCCAAGCAACACUCCUACUCACGGGCCUGGCCCUUCCCAUGCAUUUUCUUUUCUUGCUUUUUUUUUUUUUUUUUGAGAUGGAGUCUCGCUCUGUCACCCAUACUGAAGUGCAGUGGGGCCAUCUCGGCUCACUGCAAGCUCUGCCUCCCAGGUUCAAACAAUUCUCCUGCCUCAGCCUCCCGUGUAGCUGGGAUUACAGGGAUGUACUACCAUGUCCGGCUAAUUUUUGUAUUUUUAUUAGAGACAGGGUUUCACCAUGUUGGCCAGGCUGGUCUCGAACUCCUGACCUCAAGUGAUCUGUGCACCUCAGCCUCCCAAAGUGCUGGGAUUACAGGCAUGAGCCACCGCGCCCAGCCCCCAUACGUUUUCUCGCUGGCCAUGCUGUGCACCGUCUACUAAGUUGCCAUGGCUGCCUGGCCAUCUGACUUGUCACCCUCUCAUCCCUGACCUGACCCCAGUGUGUCUGCUUUUGCAGGGCCAAGGGGUCAGAUUCUUCUGCAGAGGACAGCCCUGUGAGGUCCAGGUUACGGACUCCUGCUCAAGCACAUGUAGGAUGCCAGCCUGAUGGUGUCUGGGUCCUUCAGUAGUAUUCAUGGCAGCCUGCUGAACUCUGCCUUCCAAGAUCCAGUUUAUAUUUUAGGGCCCCAAUGUAAAUGUUGCAAAGUCUUUCCCAUUUCCCCUGCCUCAGAACAGCAGCAUGGAAAGCCUAGAAUGGAAAAAGAGAAUGAGCCCAAACCCAGCAGCUCAGGCCAGGAGGCAUGCCUGUUCCACAUCACUCCACGUGGCUUUGUGUUUGUUGCCUCCACAUCUGUUCCAACCCAGCUAGGCUGGUGCAGAAGGAGCCCAGGGGGUCCUGCUUAUCACUGAAUUCCUUUACUGAUGCAUUGUUUUAAAGAGAAAAAAUCCCCAUGAAAGGUCCACCACAGGAACUGGGGACCUCUCAAUGAUCCCAAUAGGUAAGGAAGACUCAUUUGCAGUGAGCUCCAGGGGACCUUUCUACAACUCACAGUGACCAGUGGGAAUAGGACACACAAGGUGAUGCCAAGCCUGGCACAACAGCUGAGUACCUUGACUCGUCCCAAAUCCCAGAGUAAAUGUAGGGCACCUGAGGCAGCUGCCAAGGGACAGAUGUCCUUCAGAGCAGUUCUGGACAAGGCCCUCAUUUAUUUCUCUCUGUCACCUGCCCCUCUCUCUCUUUAAAAACCUAGGCAUUUUGUCUUCUUUUCCUCAUUUUUGUCCUACACAGGAACAUGAGAGCCACCUGGUGGAAGGUUUUAUUAGCAUGGAGGACGAGGGAGAGUUUGGCAGCUUGGCAGAGCUGCAGGUUGUGGAGAAGCAGCUGAGACAACAGCCCUGAGAGAGGAGAUCUGUGCUUCCCUGGAGCACAGGGCAGGUUGACACAUCAGCUGCGGAACAGUAUCUGGACCAGAAGCCUUUGCUCACUGUGAGAGACAGGCCGGGUCACUUACUUGCUCACCGCACAUGGGGGCUGAGUGGUGGCUGUUACAGAUCCAUGGAGGCCAGUGGUUGAGGCUCUGAAGGGGACAUGGCUGUCGCUGUGGGAG
Molecule: long non-coding RNA, 3206 nt
Filed under: Homo sapiens (human)
Lineage: Eukaryota; Metazoa; Chordata; Mammalia; Primates; Hominidae
Description: HSALNT0225879
Source: RNAcentral